This 91-nucleotide transfer RNA is filed under the name Neofusicoccum ribis. RNAcentral describes it as "tRNA-Asp". It matches the Rfam family "tRNA". Rfam says of the family: Transfer RNA (tRNA) molecules are approximately 80 nucleotides in length. The record is from RNAcentral. RNAcentral also lists the same sequence under 1 other name. Lineage: Eukaryota; Fungi; Ascomycota; Dothideomycetes; Botryosphaeriales; Botryosphaeriaceae.
UCUUCGAUGGUCUAGUGGUCAUGAUUUCCGCUUGUCAAAACAAACGUUCUGAGAAGCGCGGGAGACCGGGGUUCGAUUCCCCGUCGGAGAG